AAUUUACUGUUUGGUUCGUUAUCCGGUACAAAAAUAAUUGAGCCAACACUUGAAUAACGGGAAGCCGAUGCCGGCUUCGGUGCAAUCCUCCAUGGAGGAAUUGCCAUAGAUUCCGGCUAAUGCGUCUAUAAACGCGAGGCUGCCCACCUGUAAAAUACAGGUUCAAUUCAUGCACCGGAGACGGCCGAAACGGUUACUUU
This 200-nucleotide non-coding RNA is filed under the name Pseudomonadota bacterium. Its description in RNAcentral is "6S RNA". It matches the Rfam family "6S / SsrS RNA". From Rfam's summary of the family: E. coli 6S RNA was the first non coding RNA to be sequenced, but its function was unknown until recently. It consists of 184 nucleotides that fold into an extended hairpin structure with a large single-stranded internal bulge. The 6S RNA specifically associates with RNA polymerase holoenzyme containing the sigma70 specificity factor. The record is from RNAcentral. Lineage: Bacteria; Pseudomonadati; Pseudomonadota. RNAcentral also lists the same sequence under 1 other name.